Molecule: ribosomal RNA, 632 nt
Filed under: Fusarium merismoides var. merismoides
Lineage: Eukaryota; Fungi; Ascomycota; Sordariomycetes; Hypocreales; Nectriaceae
Description: eukaryotic LSU rRNA
Rfam family: Eukaryotic large subunit ribosomal RNA
Source: RNAcentral
GGUUGACCUCGGAUCAGGUAGGAAUACCCGCUGAACUUAAGCAUAUCAAUAAGCGGAGGAAAAGAAACCAACAGGGAUUGCCCUAGUAACGGCGAGUGAAGCGGCAACAGCUCAAAUUUGAAAUCUGGCCCCCGGGUCCGAGUUGUAAUUUGUAGAGGAUGCUUUUGGUGAGGUACCUUCCGAGUUCCCUGGAACGGGACGCCAUAGAGGGUGAGAGCCCCGUCUGGUCGGAUACCGAUCCUCUGUAAAGCUCCUUCGACGAGUCGAGUAGUUUGGGAAUGCUGCUCUAAAUGGGAGGUAUAUGUCUUCUAAAGCUAAAUAUAGGCCAGAGACCGAUAGCGCACAAGUAGAGUGAUCGAAAGAUGAAAAGCACUUUGAAAAGAGGGUUAAACAGUACGUGAAAUUGUUGAAAGGGAAGCGCUUGUGACCAGACUUGGGCCCGGUUAAUCAUCCAGCGUUCUCGCUGGUGCACUUGGCCGGCCCAGGCCAGCAUCAGUUCGGCGUGGGGGAUAAAGGCGGCGGGAAUGUGGCUCCUCCGGGAGUGUUAUAGCCCACCGUGUAAUACCCUGUGCUGGACUGAGGUUCGCGCAUUCGCAAGGAUGCUGGCGUAAUGGUCAUUAGCGACCCGUCUU